This 253-nucleotide ribosomal RNA is filed under the name uncultured bacterium. Its description in RNAcentral is "partial 16S ribosomal RNA". It matches the Rfam family "Bacterial small subunit ribosomal RNA", at positions 524 to 776 of the family's 1533-position model. The record is from RNAcentral.
GACGAACCGUGCGAACGUUGUUCGGAUUCACUGGGCUUAAGGGGCGCGUAGGCGGGCGGUCAAGUCAGGGGUGAAAUCUUUCGGCCUAACCGGAAAAGGGCCUCUGAUACUGGCCGUCUCGAGGGAGGUAGGGGCAUGCGGAACUUCCGGUGGAGCGGUGAAAUGCGCAGAUAUCGGGAGGAACACCGGUGGCGAAGGCGGUUCUCUGGGCCUGUACUGACGCUGAGGAGCGAAAGCGUGGGGAGCGAACAGG